Molecule: ribosomal RNA, 402 nt
Filed under: uncultured bacterium
Lineage: Bacteria
Description: bacterial SSU rRNA
Rfam family: Bacterial small subunit ribosomal RNA
Source: RNAcentral
UGGGGAAUAUUGGACAAUGGGGGCAACCCUGAUCCAGCCAUGCCGCGUGAGUGAUGAAGGCCUUCGGGUUGUAAAGCUCUUUUGGCGGGGACGAUGAUGACGGUACCCGCAGAAUAAGCCCCGGCUAACUUCGUGCCAGCAGCCGCGGUAAGACGAAGGGGGCAAGCGUUGUUCGGAAUUACUGGGCGUAAAGGGCGCGUAGGCGGUUUGCUUAGUCAGGCGUGAAAGCCCUGGGCCUAACCUGGGAUGUGCGCUUGAUACUGGCAGGCUUGAGUGUGGGAGAGGUUGGUGGAAUUCCCAGUGUAGAGGUGAAAUUCGUAGAUAUUGGGAAGAACACCGGUGGCGAAGGCGGCCAACUGGACCACAACUGACGCUGAGGCGCGAAAGCGUGGGGAGCAAACA